This 497-nucleotide ribosomal RNA is filed under the name uncultured bacterium. RNAcentral describes it as "partial 16S ribosomal RNA". It matches the Rfam family "Bacterial small subunit ribosomal RNA", at positions 28 to 507 of the family's 1533-position model. The record is from RNAcentral.
GAUGAACGCUGGCGGCGUGCCUAAUACAUGCAAGUCGAGCGAACAGAUGAGGAGCUUGCUCCUCUGACGUUAGCGGCGGACGGGUGAGUAACACGUGGAUAACCUACCUAUAAGACUGGGAUAACUUCGGGAAACCGGAGCUAAUACCGGAUAAUAUAUUGAACCGCAUGGUUCAAUAGUGAAAGACGGUUUUGCUGUCUCUUAUAGAUGGAUCCGCGCCGCAUUAGCUAGUUGGUAAGGUAACGGCUUACCAAGGCAAUGAUGCGUAGCCGACCUGAGAGGGUGAUCAGCCACACUGGAACUGUGACACGGUCCAGACUCCUACGGGAGGCAGCAGUAGGGAAUCUUCCGCAAUGGGCGAAAGCCUGACGGAGCAACGCCGCGUGAGUGAUGAAGGUCUUCGGAUCGUAAAACUCUGUUAUUAGGGAAGAACAAAUGUGUAAGUAACUAUGCACGUCUUGACGGUACCUAAUCAGAAAGCCACGGCUAACUACGUG